RNAcentral lists this long non-coding RNA (239 nucleotides) under Vigna radiata. RNAcentral's name for it is "long non-coding RNA (VRAD_LNC003537)". The record is from RNAcentral. Lineage: Eukaryota; Viridiplantae; Streptophyta; Magnoliopsida; Fabales; Fabaceae.
GCUUAUGAGUUACCUGUUUAUUUGAGAAAACUGACAUAGAGGUCGUGCUCUUAUAAUGAGAUUGUCAGUUUCAAACAACUGACAUUGAGGGACGACUUUACCAGUUUCAAACAACUGAUAAUGAGAUUGCUACCCGAGACUUCAUAGCUACAGUCCACCAUCCCUCUGACCUAGUACGACCCUCUCCAUCAUGCUCCUUCCUAGAGUUCCCCACAUCAGUCCAACCUACACUAGUCCAG